ACUUCCGGCCGCUCGCAAGAUGGCGGCGCGCCGCGUUCUCCGCCUCGCGGAGCGCCAGGCGCGAUGGCUCCGCCCCUUGCCCCGCCCCCCGCAGCGGAUCGGCCAAUGGCGAGAGGCGCAGGGCCUCUCCCCGAGCACCUCCGGGCCCGGCCCCCUCAGGGACCUCCCGGACUGGAGCUUUUCGGACGGGCGCCCCUCCCCCCCCUGGCGGGGGCAGAUCCGGAGACUCGGCGACAGCAGAGAACUGAGGGUGAGAAACCAGUAUGGAC
This 269-nucleotide long non-coding RNA is filed under the name Lonchura striata (white-rumped munia). Its description in RNAcentral is "domestica (Bengalese finch) lncRNA (ENSLSDG00000003976.1)". The record is from RNAcentral. Lineage: Eukaryota; Metazoa; Chordata; Aves; Passeriformes; Estrildidae.